This 496-nucleotide ribosomal RNA is filed under the name uncultured bacterium. RNAcentral describes it as "partial 16S ribosomal RNA". It matches the Rfam family "Bacterial small subunit ribosomal RNA", at positions 29 to 507 of the family's 1533-position model. The record is from RNAcentral.
AUGAACGCUGGCGGCGUGCCUAAUACAUGCAAGUAGAACGCUGAAGGAAGGAGCUUGCUCUUUCCGGAUGAGUUGCGAACGGGUGAGUAACGCGUAGGUAACCUGCCUGGUAGCGGGGGAUAACUAUUGGAAACGAUAGCUAAUACCGCAUAACAGUAGAUGUUGCAUGAUAUCUACUUAAAAGGUGCAAUUGCACCACUACCAGAUGGACCUGCGUUGUAUUAGCUAGUUGGUGAGGUAACGGCUCACCAAGGCGACGAUACAUAGCCGACCUGAGAGGGUGAUCGGCCACACUGGGACUGAGACACGGCCCAGACUCCUACGGGAGGAAGCAGUAGGGAAUCUUCGGCAAUGGACGGAAGCCUGACCGAGCAACGCCGCGUGAGUGAAGAAGGUUUUCGGAUCGUAAAGCUCUGUUGUAAGAGAAGAACGAGUGUGAGAGUGGAAAGUUCACACUGUGACGGUAUCUUACCAGAAAGGGACGGCUAACUACGUG